This 1069-nucleotide ribosomal RNA is filed under the name Hypoxylon mangrovei. RNAcentral's name for it is "SSU rRNA". It matches the Rfam family "Eukaryotic small subunit ribosomal RNA". The record is from RNAcentral. Lineage: Eukaryota; Fungi; Ascomycota; Sordariomycetes; Xylariales; Hypoxylaceae.
UAGUAUAGCAUUUAUACUGCGAAACUGCGAAUGGCUCAUUAAAUCAGUUAUCGUUUAUUGGAAAGAACCUUACUACUUGGAUAACCGUGGUAAUUCUAGAGCUAAUACAUGCUAAAAAUCCCGACUUACGGAGGGAUGUAUUUAUUAGAUUAAAAACCAAUGCCCUUCGGGGCUCUUUGGUGAUUCAUAAUAACUUCUCGAAUCGCAUGGCCUUGCGCUGGCGAUGGUUCAUUCAAAUUUCUGCCCUAUCAACUUUCGAUGGCAGGGUCUUGGCCUGCCAUGGUUACAACGGGUAACGGAGGGUUAGGGCUCGACCCCGGAGAAGGAGCCUGAGAAACGGCUACUACAUCCAAGGAAGGCAGCAGGCGCGCAAAUUACCCAAUCCCGAUACGGGGAGGUAGUGACAAUAAAUACUGAUACAGGGCUCUUUUGGGUCUUGUAAUUGGAAUGAGUACAAUUUAAAUCCCUUAACGAGGAACAAUUGGAGGGCAAGUCUGGUGCCAGCAGCCGCGGUAAUUCCAGCUCCAAUAGCGUAUAUUAAAGUUGUUGCAGUUAAAAAGCUCGUAGUUGAACCUUGGGCCUGGCUGGCCGGUCCGCCUCACCGCGUGCACUGGUUCGGCCGGGCCUUUCCCUCUGGGGAACCCUAUGCCCUUCACUGGGUGUAGCGGGGAACCAGGACUUUUACUGUGAAAAAAUUAGAGUGUUCAAAGCAGGCCUAUGCUCGAAUACAUCAGCAUGGAAUAAUAGAAUAGGACGUGCGGUUCUAUUUUGUUGGUUUCUAGGACCGCCGUAAUGAUUAAUAGGGACAGUCGGGGGCAUCAGUAUUCAAUUGUCAGAGGUGAAAUUCUUGGAUUUAUUGAAGACUAACUACUGCGAAAGCAUUUGCCAAGGAUGUUUUCAUUAAUCAGGAACGAAAGUUAGGGGAUCGAAGACGAUCGAAACGGCUUGGAUAGUUCUCAUUCGCCGUGUAUCUGGUCGUCGAUAGUUUAGUGGUAAGCUAAGCUAGUCUUAUUAGUUAAUAAAUAGGCGACCACCGUCCAAAUUGCGGGACAUCCUUAAGAAGCCUCUU